GCAAGGGUGCGUAACACGUGGAGGUAAUUUGCCGUGAAGUCUGGGAUAACUUGCUGAAAGGGCGAUGCUAAUACCGAGAUGUGAUUUCUGGAAGAGCAUCUUCUGGAACUUAAUAGUCGGGGACCGCAAGGCCUGACGCUUCUCGAUAAGCCCGCGGUCUAUCAGCUAGUCGGUGAGGUAACGGCUCACCAAGGCUAAGACGGGUAGCUGGUCUGAGAGGACGACCAGCCACACUGGAACUGAGACACGGUCCAGACUCACCAUACGGGUGGCAGCAGUCGAGAAUUUUUCUCAAUGGGCGAAAGCCUGAAGGAGCGACGCCGCGUGGGGGAUGAAUGGCUUCGGCCCGUAAACCCCUGUCAUUUGCGAUCAAACCUUACGACCUAGCACGUCGUGAGCUGAUAGUAGCGGAAGAGGAAGGGACGGCUAACUCUGUGCCAGCAGCCGCGG
Molecule: ribosomal RNA, 450 nt
Filed under: uncultured bacterium
Lineage: Bacteria
Description: bacterial SSU rRNA
Rfam family: Bacterial small subunit ribosomal RNA
Source: RNAcentral